This 553-nucleotide ribosomal RNA is filed under the name uncultured Geobacter sp. RNAcentral describes it as "bacterial SSU rRNA". It matches the Rfam family "Bacterial small subunit ribosomal RNA", at positions 32 to 559 of the family's 1533-position model. Lineage: Bacteria; Pseudomonadati; Thermodesulfobacteriota; Desulfuromonadia; Geobacterales; Geobacteraceae. The record is from RNAcentral.
AACGCUAGCGGCGUGCCUAACACAUGCAAGUCGCACGAGAAAUCCCGGGCAACUGGGAGAGUAAAGUGGCGCACGGGUGAGUAGCGCGUGGGUAAUCUACCCUGGAGUUGGGAAUAACACCUCGAAAGGGGUGCUAAUACCGAAUAAUGUCCUCGGGAUUCUGGUCUUGGGGAUCAAAGAUGGCUGAGGCUUGCAAGCUAUCGCUUUAGGAUGAGCCCGCGUACCAUUAGCUAGUUGGUGGGGUAAUGGCCCACCAAGGCCAUGAUGGUUAGCUGGUCUGAGAGGAUGGCCAGCCACACUGGAACUGAGACACGGUCCAGACUCCUACGGGAGGCAGCAGUGAGGAAUCUUGCGCAAUGGGGGAAACCCUGACGCAGCAACGCCGCGUGAGUGAUGAAGGCCUUCGGGUCGUAAAGCUCUGUCAGAUGGGAAGAAAGUUUCGGCGGUGAAUAACCGCUGGAAUUGACGGUACCGUCAGAGGAAGCACCGGCUAACUCCGUGCCAGCAGCCGCGGUAAUACGGAGGGUGCAAGCGUUGUUCGGAAUCAUUGGGC